Molecule: transfer RNA, 79 nt
Filed under: Gammaproteobacteria bacterium
Lineage: Bacteria; Pseudomonadati; Pseudomonadota; Gammaproteobacteria
Description: tRNA-Gly
Source: RNAcentral
GCAGUAGAGACAGCCAGAGGCAGGGUUGAUUUAAUUCCCAAGCAAAGGGUCGCGGGUUCGAUCCCCGUCUUCCGCUCCA